CAGCAGACAAGCCUCGCGGCUACAUACUUGUAGAUGGCGGACACUCGCAGGAGGCAGUGGAAACGGUACGUAGUAUGGCGAUGCUACAUAAAUCUUUUGGAAACCAGACACAAUCUGGAAAAUUGGAAAUCGUCAACGUUCAGUCAACAGACGAUCCGUGUGGUUUGAUUGAAGACUAUCCUGUUGUACAUUUGAGUAGACGGUGUCUACAGAC
Corticium candelabrum is the source of this 214-nucleotide long non-coding RNA. RefSeq lists it as uncharacterized. Lineage: Eukaryota; Metazoa; Porifera; Homoscleromorpha; Homosclerophorida; Plakinidae. The transcript has 3 exons. The record is from RefSeq and is a predicted model, not a curated record.